AGACGACGCUGGCGGCGUGCUUAACACAUGCAAGUCGAACGGUGACGGAGAGCUUGCUCUCCUGAUCAGUGGCGAACGGGUGAGUAACACGUGGGCAACCUGCCCCAGACUUCGGGAUAACGCUUCGAAAGAGGUGCUAAUACCGAAUACGAACGCCGUGGGCAUCCACGGUGUUGGAAAGUUUUUCGGUCUGGGAUGGGCCCGCGGCCUAUCAGCUUGUUGGUGAGGUAAUGGGCUCACCCAAGGCGACGACGGGUAGCCGGCCUGAGAGGGCGACCGGCCACACUGGGACUGAGACACGGCCCAGACUCCUACGGGAGGCAGCAGUGGGGAAUAUUGCGCAAUGGGCGAAAGCCUGACGCAGCAACGCCGCGUGGGGGAUGAAGGCCUUCGGGUUGUAAACCUCUUUCAGCAGGGAAGAAGCGAAAGUGACGGUACCUGCAGAAGAAGCACCGGCUAACUACGUG
RNAcentral lists this ribosomal RNA (467 nucleotides) under uncultured bacterium. RNAcentral's name for it is "bacterial SSU rRNA". It matches the Rfam family "Bacterial small subunit ribosomal RNA", at positions 33 to 507 of the family's 1533-position model. The record is from RNAcentral.